RNAcentral lists this ribosomal RNA (1494 nucleotides) under uncultured bacterium. Its description in RNAcentral is "bacterial SSU rRNA". It matches the Rfam family "Bacterial small subunit ribosomal RNA". The record is from RNAcentral.
AGUUUGAUCCUGGCUCAGAUUGAACGCUGGCGGCAUGCCUUACACAUGCAAGUCGAACGGCAGCAUAGGAGCUUGCUCCUGAUGGCGAGUGGCGAACGGGUGAGUAAUAUAUCGGAACGUGCCCUAGAGUGGGGGAUAACUAGUCGAAAGACUAGCUAAUACCGCAUACGAUCUACGGAUGAAAGUGGGGGAUCGCAAGACCUCAUGCUCCUGGAGCGGCCGAUAUCUGAUUAGCUAGUUGGUGGGGUAAAAGCCUACCAAGGCAACGAUCAGUAGCUGGUCUGAGAGGACGACCAGCCACACUGGGACUGAGACACGGCCCAGACUCCUACGGGAGGCAGCAGUGGGGAAUUUUGGACAAUGGGGGCAACCCUGAUCCAGCAUUGCCGCGUGAGUGAAGAAGGCCUUCGGGUUGUAAAAGCUCUUUUGUCAGGGAAGAAACGGUAGUAGCUAAUAUCUAUUACUAAUGACGGUACCUGAAGAAUAAGCACCGGCUAACUACGUGCCAGCAGCCGCGGUAAUACGUAGGGUGCAAGCGUUAAUCGGAAUUACUGGGCGUAAAGCGUGCGCAGGCGGUUGUGUAAGUCAGAUGUGAAAUCCCCGGGCUCAACCUGGGAAUUGCAUUUGAGACUGCACGGCUAGAGUGUGUCAGAGGGGGGUAGAAUUCCACGUGUAGCAGUGAAAUGCGUAGAUAUGUGGAGGAAUACCGAUGGCGAAGGCAGCCCCCUGGGAUAACACUGACGCUCAUGCACGAAAGCGUGGGGAGCAAACAGGAUUAGAUACCCUGGUAGUCCACGCCCUAAACGAUGUCUACUAGUUGUCGGGUCUUAAUUGACUUGGUAACGCAGCUAACGCGUGAAGUAGACCGCCUGGGGAGUACGGUCGCAAGAUUAAAACUCAAAGGAAUUGACGGGGACCCGCACAAGCGGUGGAUGAUGUGGAUUAAUUCGAUGCAACGCGAAAAACCUUACCUACCCUUGACAUGGAUGGAAUCCCGAAGAGAUUUGGGAGUGCUCGAAAGAGAACCAUCACCCAGGUGCUGCAGUGGCUGUCGUCAGCUCGUGUCGUGAGAUGUUGGGUUAAGUCCCGCAACGAGCGCAACCCUUGUCAUUAGUUGCUACGAAAGGGCACUCUAAUGAGACUGCCGGUGACAAACCGGAGGAAGGUGGGGAUGACGUCAAGUCCUCAUGGCCCUUAUGGGUAGGGCUUCACACGUCAUACAAUGGUACAUACAGAGGGCCGCCAACCCGCGAGGGGGAGCUAAUCCCAGAAAGUGUAUCGUAGUCCGGAUUGGAGUCUGCAACUCGACUCCAUGAAGUUGGAAUCGCUAGUAAUCGCGGAUCAGCAUGUCGCGGUGAAUACGUUCCCGGGUCUUGUACACACCGCCCGUCACACCAUGGGAGCGGGUUUUACCAGAAGUGGGUAGCCUAACCGCAAGGAGGGCGCUCACCACGGUAGGAUUCGUGACUGGGGUGAAGUCGUAACAAGGUAACC